GACGAACGCUGGCGGCGUGCCUAAUACAUGCAAGUAGAACGCUGAAGGAGGAGCUUGCUUCUCCGGAUGAGUUGCGAACGGGUGAGUAACGCGUAGGUAACCUGCCUGGUAGCGGGGGAUAACUAUUGGAAACUAUAGCUAAUACCGCAUAAGAGUAGAUGUCGCAUGACAUUUGCUUAAAAGUUGCAACUGCACCACUACCAGAUGGACCUGCGUUGUAUUAGCUAGUUGGUGAGGUAACGGCUCACCAAGGCAACGAUACAUAGCCGAACUGAGAGGGUGAUCGGCCACACUGGGACUGAGACACGGCCCAGACUGCUACGGGAGGCAGCAGUAGGGAAUCGUCGGCAAUGGACGGAAGUCUGACCGAGCAACGCCGCGUGAGUGAAGAAGGUUUUCGGAUCGUAAAGCUCUGUUGUAAGAGAAGAACGAGUGUGAGAGUGGAAAGUUCACACUGUGACGGUAUCUGACCAGAAAGGGACGGCUAACUACGUG
This 495-nucleotide ribosomal RNA is filed under the name uncultured bacterium. RNAcentral's name for it is "partial 16S ribosomal RNA". It matches the Rfam family "Bacterial small subunit ribosomal RNA", at positions 28 to 507 of the family's 1533-position model. The record is from RNAcentral.